AAAUCAAAUUCCUUCUCAUGAAGGUAGAUAAACAACAUCAUUUAACUCUAAACAAAAACUAGAAUCUAGAUAAAGCCUAACGAUGCCUAUUGCAUGGACUUGAACUCUUUUGCCAUUCCCUAUAACGACUUGAACUUGGUCUUUAUUUGGUGUUUUCUGGUUUAUGAAGUCCUGCAAGGAAUUAGCAACAAGGAUAUAAGAUCCACUAUCAAUAAUCGAAGUAUUGGAAGGAAUACACAUAGAAUUUGACUCAAAACAAACUAAGACCAUAUUAGAAUUACCUUUAGCAGCCCUUUUCUCUGCCCAACGCUUAUACCUAUUGCAAUUUCUCUUUACAAAAGUAAACCGGGAUUAUUGGUUUGAUUUACACUAAGAACAUGUGUCUUAGAGGAAAGGUUAGGCUCUACAACCUCUUUAUUGGCAGUAUGAGAGCUCAUCUUGAAAAGACAACGUUUUUUUAGCACUAAUGGUUAAAUGCUUAGAGUAAGUCUCAUUUUCUUUCUUGUAUCUUUCUUCUUCUUGGAAAUAAACAGAAAUCAGUUCAUUCACACUCCAUUUGUCCUUCAAAGCAUUGUAGAUAAUCUUGAGUUGAUCAUAUUUGGAAGGAAGGAAGUUAAGGACCUAAUGGACUAAGUACAGAUCAGCUAAAGGAAUUUUAAGACUGUUUAGCUUGGUUGCAACAUCCACCAUACUUAAAAUGUACUCCCUUAUACCUCUAACUACAUCAUAUUUCAUGGUUGUGAGCUUACUCAUUAGAUUUCCGGUUUCUGUUUUCUCGGAUUCCAUAAACUUUGCACUCACAUAUAUCAUAAAUUCUUUGGCAUUCUCAGAAGCUGGUAUUCCAUCAAAAAUAACUUGAGUGAUGGUGUUCUCCAUGAUUAGCAGGCACAACGUAUUACAGUUCUCCCACUUCUCGAAUUUGAGCUUUUGUUCAUUGGUGCUGGUGUUAGUUAGUGCGGCUGGUUUCUCCUCUAUUAGAGCUAUAUUGAUGCCCAAUAAACCUAGGACAAUCUCUAGAUCUCUUUUCCACUUUUUAAAGUUGUUACCAGACAAGGGUUCAAUGGAAUUGAUGGCAGAUGGGUUAACUACUGAAAGAUAAACAUGGAAUAUGGAACUUUAUUAAUCUUUAACCCCAAAAUCUUUAUACAUAAUUGACAAACAUCUGUGGACAAAUUAUCAACAUGCUUUUAAUACUUUCACAAGUCUACUAUAUGAACUUAACAUGAAAAACUUUUAUCAAAACCCUUCACAUCUGUAGAUUGAUCAGAGCCGAUAUUCACAUAAGUUAAUGUAAUACCUUGUUCCAUUAUAGAAUACGUCCAAUUAAAAGUUCAUAUCUGUAGACCGAAAACCCUAAUUGGCAAUGUCUAUAAUACAAAUUUGUCAUUAUAAUAUGAGAUUGAAAAGAUGGAUGGCUACUCUAUUGAAUGGUUGUAUGCUAUACAAUAAAAUAGAAUAUCACUUCAAUCUUGACAUCUUUAUAGGUCUUUAAUAUUUGCAACGGAAUUUAACAUAUUCAUGCCUUAUGUAAUAGGGGAAGAAUAUGCUAUCUUGUUUUGGAAAACCCUAAUCGAGUUUGUGAUUCAAUUACAUAGCAUAUACACAGAACUAUAAUAAUAAUACUACUCGAAAUAAUAUAUAUAGCUACAAUACAACAUGUUGCAGAUUAAUAUAUUGACCUACAGAUAUAUAUACAAAAUACUUUCAUGCCUUUAAUCAUCAAUUCAAUACCAUGAGGGGGCGUUUGUUUGCCCUCACUAAGUGGGACUGGACUGGACUAGAUUAGAAAUUAGGGCAGUCCGAUGUUUGUUACACAACCGGACUAGCUUUAGUGGGAUUACCCUUCACUCGCCUCGACUAAGGGGCUCGCUAGAUCGUCUUAGCGAGACCCCCCGAAAACAACGGGAUUGCUAGUCCCGUAUCCUUCGUCUACAAGUCGCGUCCCGCGAACCAACAUGAGCACCAUCAUCACUUCUUCUCCAGUGACCAAACCAGAAACGGCUGUCGCCGAUCUCCAUCGUCCUGCAAACCUAGCACCCUUUUUGGCAUUUCAGUCGGUGAUUUGGGGUCUUUCGCCAUCUGGGUCGACCCGAACGACAUCAAAGAUGGAUCUUUUGCUACCACCGCUCCGCUUUUCCCACUCCAUCUCCUCCUUCCUGGCUUCCCACAACCUGAAAACCUAGAAAAUCGAACCCAGAAAACCCAUAAAACCCAGAAGACCGAACCCAGAAAACCCAAAAAAAAAUCUAUGAGAUAAGCUUGAAUCAACGAUGGGAGUGAUGUAGAUCAAACCCAGAAAACAUAAAAAUUGAUGAUCACAAACUUUACCUAUCUUUCACCUUCGAGCCAAUUGCACAUGCACCCUACCCCAACUCCUUAAUUUACACUCUAUUUUUUGCUUUGUGGUUUGAUUUUGAAGAUAUGCACAGUUGAUUAUAAAUUGUGAGAGGGAGGGAAGAGGGUGAAAAGGUAGGGGAGAAGGAGCUGGAUGGGAAACGGAAAGGGAAGAGAUGGAGAAAAGGAGGAGAGAUAGUUUGACUAAAGAAAAAGGGAGAGACAAAGAGACUUACUGGAAUUCUUUUUUUUUUUUUUGUGUAACAAACAUCAUUCUAGUGUUCUUUGAUUCCUUUAAUUAUUUUUUUAUUUGCAGUUGCGGUUAACAAUGGUGAGAUUGAUGACAAUUCCAAUACGGCAAGAAGAGAAAAAAAAUAAUAUUUUUUUAAUUUUUUUAUUAUUCUGGUAUUUAGUCCGACAUUGCACCAAACACUUCACUAAACUAGUCCAGCUUAAUCUAGUCUAAGCCAGUCCAGCUAGUCCCUGAAGCUAAUCCAGUCCGAGACAGUCCGGUACAACAAACGCCCCCUGACAGUCUUGAUAUGCUUCAGGGGUUGUAAACAACAUAUAGUAUAAACAAGGUAUAAAAACAGAACAUGGAUUAUAUGCAGCAGACAUGACUUUGAAUAGCAAUCAUGCUUCACAAUUUACUUUAUAAGUAUAAUCUUGGUGUUAGACUUCUAGAUGCAUAUAACCUAUGAUAUAAUACCACAUGUAAGUCAACUAUAAUAUGCACACUAAAAGUACUAACCUUGAGAAGCCAUUGAAUCCAAGCACAAGAGUGAAUCACGGACACAACAACAAGCAAAGAUCUUUUGCUCUCUCUACACGCCUUAUGCACUCCUAUAUGGGGUAGGUUUUGUGCUAGAAUAUUGUGUAUAAGAGUGGGGACCUAAGCCUUAUAUUUAUAGGUGAGUAUAUUAGGUUUCUUGCCCAUAAAGAAAUCCCUAAUACAUAUCUAUAGCACCUUCAAAAUCCAUGACCUACCAUGAAAGAUAUUCCCAAUCAUUAU
This 3346-nucleotide long non-coding RNA is filed under the name Malus domestica (apple). RNAcentral describes it as "long non-coding RNA (MDOM_LNC003140)". The record is from RNAcentral. Lineage: Eukaryota; Viridiplantae; Streptophyta; Magnoliopsida; Rosales; Rosaceae.